Molecule: long non-coding RNA, 347 nt
Organism: Zingiber officinale
Lineage: Eukaryota; Viridiplantae; Streptophyta; Magnoliopsida; Zingiberales; Zingiberaceae
Exons: 2
Source: RefSeq, a predicted model, not a curated record
GCCAUGGAAAAGGCCUUCUUUUUCUAGUAUCAUGGAAUCCUUGAAGCCUCUAAUCAAGACUCAGUCACCUCAACCGUUACAUUCUGAUAUGUCUAGUAUCCAAUAGCCAGAUGAUUGCAUAUUCCUAAGAGAGAUGUGUAUUGUAUCUAUUCUACUUGUCAAAAAGGGUCCCCUUCAAAUUUUGCCUGUCAGAGGAUCAGUGCCAAUGAAGCUGCUGCCAGUUUUCAUUGCAUCACCGCCAACACGAUCGAUCUAAUCAGCUAUAGAUAUUUUUCAGUAAAUUGAAGUUCCAUUCGCGUUUAUAUGUAUAUUUUGUUUAACCUAGGUGCAUUAUAUUUUUAUCCGAG